Long non-coding RNA from Oxyura jamaicensis (ruddy duck), 2192 nucleotides. RefSeq lists it as uncharacterized. The transcript has 4 exons. Lineage: Eukaryota; Metazoa; Chordata; Aves; Anseriformes; Anatidae. The record is from RefSeq and is a predicted model, not a curated record.
CUUUCUUUAAAGCUUUAUUUGCCUCCUGCAAGGGGGUGUUUUGGUCAGACUUGGUGUCAUCUCGUGCAGCCAAAGAGAAGGAUGUGUUUGGCCCUGCCAGGGAGGAGGUUUGUGAGUAGAGAUUCCCAGCCACUGUAGGACAGGGGAACCCCAGUGUGGCAAGGGCACAGCUCUCCCGGAUUAAUGUACACCGUGAUAUCCCCAGCUCACACGGAGAGGAGGCUCCUGUAGACAUCUUCCCAUGGGCUCACAAAGGUGUCCAUCCACCUGUGCCACCAUGUCAACUGCCCUUUGACCAUGGCAACUGCCAGGAGUGCAUGAAGACUGGAGGAAAGUGAAUGUCACUCCUAUCUUCUAGAAAGACAAGAGGGAGGACCCAGAGAAUUGCCAGACAAUUUCACCUCAAUCCCUGGCAAGGAUAUGGAGCAUCUCAUCCUAGAAACCAUUUAACAGUCAGAUGAAGGAGAAGAAAAUCACCUGUACUUGUCAGCGUGGCUUCAGCAAGUGGAAGUCAUCCUUGAUAAACUUGAUAAGCUUCUGCAAUGAAAUGACCAGUCUAUGGAUGAGGGGACAUCAGUGGCUAUAGUCUUAAAGGACUUUGCUAAGGUCUUUGACACUGUGCCUCAGAAGAUCUUCCUAGAGAAGCUGUUGAUGUAUGGGCUGGAUGGGUGGACAGUGAAGUGCUUCAAAUCCUGGCUGAAUGGUUUGGCCCAGAGAGUAGCAGCCAGGAGUGCAAAGUUUAGCCAGUAACAUGCAGUGUACCCCAGGAGUCACUGCUGGGUCCAAUUCUGUUAAUCUUAUCUUCAUUAAUCAUCUGUACAAGGGGGUAGAGUGCACCAUCAUCAGGUUUGCUGAUGACACCAGGCUGGGAGGAGUGGCUGAUAAGCCAGAGGGACCUGGAAAGGCUGGAGAACUGGGCUGAUAGGAACCUCAUAAAGCUCAGCACGGAGAAGUGCAAAGUCCUGCACCUGGGGAGGAAAAACCGUAGGCACCAGGACAUGCUGGUGACCACACAGGUGAAAGGCAGCCUUGCAGAAAUAGACCUAGAGGCCUGGGGGACACCAAACUGAACAUAAAUCAGCAAUGGGCCCUUUGCUGCCAACAGGGCUGCAUCAGGCAAAGGAUUGCCAGUAGGUCAAGGGAGGCGAUCCUUCCCCUCUGCUCAGCACUGCUCUUGAGUCCUCUGGUUCUGAUGGACCUCUGGUGGCAAGGCAGGAAAAUAAGGAUGCUCAGUGAGAUAAACCAACUCCAGCCUGACAGACCACAUGUGAAUGUUCCUUUAGCAUGUAAAGGUGGUGGGGAUGCUUCCACAUGAGCAAUAGGGGAGUCCUGGCCACCAGGGCUAGGCACAGACACCUGCGUGGUGGGACCCUGCUAGCCAGAGCCCCCUGUGCCCUGCAUGGUCUCCAUCAGGAGUCUGGCCAGCAGCACUCACCCUAAAACACACAGAGUAGAGGUAGGAUAAAAAAACCCAACUACUUAGGAGUGCUCACGCAUUCACGCAUUUACUGGCAUUGCUGUCACCAAAAUAUAUUCUGGAAAGUAUGGCACAGGCCUGCAAUUCAUUUAACACAGCCCUGGGCUAAGAAGAAAACAGGAACUGCCCUCCUGAAAUCUUCUAAUGGGCCUUCUCCUCCAGUCUCCUGUUGCUGAUAAAGUCCAAAUUCAUAAGGCACAGAGGAAGUCAUAAAAUUGGUGCCGUGAUCCCAGUGCCUGAGCCAAAGGCAGCUGAAAGUCAAUGGAAAGGCUCUCAUUGACCUGAACGUGCUGUGAAGUUGGUGUUUGUGGCAUUAAGUCUCUAUGGGAAAAGAUGAGGGAAGGGAAAUGUAUGGGAGUAGGACUGCAAGUCCUCACUAAAACUGUCUGUUCCUUAAUCUUUUAUCUCCAGCAUCAGUGGAGGUGCUGCCAGACCAUUGCAUGCCUCUGUCCCUGCAUGCCAGGCACCCUCUCCCUGGAGAAAAGCGGGAAGCUUUGGUUUAUUCAAUUUUUUCCCCAUGCCGAAGUCUAUUUAAUAUCAAGUUUAUUGUGUUGUGUUUGUUUUGGAUUUUUUUUUUUCAUUCUGGCCCCACAAACGCCUCCUGGGCAGGUCAGUACGUCUCCCAGGCUACCUCUCUGUUGUGCGUCUGGAGCCUGCAGGACCCGAGGAGACCUCCAUCGCGCAGUCUGAGCACCGCUUCCCUGAUGAGGCUCAA